Molecule: ribosomal RNA, 422 nt
Filed under: uncultured bacterium
Lineage: Bacteria
Description: bacterial SSU rRNA
Rfam family: Bacterial small subunit ribosomal RNA
Source: RNAcentral
UCUUCCGCAAUGGGCGAAAGCCUGACGGAGCAAUGCCGCGUGAGUGAUGAAGGUUUUCGGAUCGUAAAGCUCUGUUGCCAGGGAAGAACGUCCUUAAGAGUAACUGCUUAAGGAGUGACGGUACCUGAGAAGAAAGCCCCGGCUAACUACGUGCCAGCAGCCGCGGUAAUACGUAGGGGGCAAGCGUUGUCCGGAAUUAUUGGGCGCAAAGCGCGCGCAGGCGGUCAUUUAAGUCUGGUGUUUAAUCCCGGGGCUCAACCCCGGAUCGCACUGGAAACUGGAUGACUUGAGUGCAGAAGAGGAGAGUGGAAUUCCACGUGUAGCGGUGAAAUGCGUAGAGAUGUGGAGGAACACCAGUGGCGAAGGCGACUCUCUGGGCUGUAACUGACGCUGAGGCGCGAAAGCGUGGGGAGCAAACAGGA